Molecule: long non-coding RNA, 1345 nt
Organism: Aegilops tauschii subsp. strangulata
Lineage: Eukaryota; Viridiplantae; Streptophyta; Magnoliopsida; Poales; Poaceae
Source: RefSeq, a predicted model, not a curated record
CUCAGCGCGCGCCCUCCUUCACCUUAUCCGCCGCCACGUCCUGAGCCGCCCAUCUAUGCCGCCGCCGCAGCCGCCGGGCUGGCUCCUCCUCCACCCCUGCGCCCCGUCCCAAUCUCCACAGCCUCCAGCGACCAACUCCAUCUCCUGCCUCCUGCAACUGGUCCUGCCAGUGCGCCGCGUCCGCCGCCGGUGAAUACCCUCCGCAAGGACUGCCCCUAGCCCCUCUGCUCCGGCGCUCCUCGGCCGUCCCCGGCCCUUUGCCUGGUCGCCAGGGACGUGCUGCUCCACGCCUGCUCCAGCCGGGGGCUGCCACCCGCCGCGCCGGCUCUUUGCUCCGGCCAAUCCCGGGCUGCUCGCCUGCUCUGCCGGACUCUGCCGCCCAGGACUUGCUGUCAACAAACAGCAAGCAGGCUGGGACAGGGAAAUAGAAGAGGAAGACAUAUUUCAUUGGAAGUUUCAACACCCGGUGUUUCAGUCGGACUGAAUCAACUCCACAAAUUGGAACAACCAUAGAUCGGACCACUGUCUUUGGCUUCAAACAACCCGCCUUCAAUCUCAACUCGAGUUUUCCAAAGCGAUGGACCAACUAUUACAGAAAAGGUAAGAGCUUUGGCUGCAAAACACAAUAGAUACGGGGUGCGCUAUAGUGGCUAUGUCAUCAACAGCUUCAGGUUCCACACGAUGAGUCAUGAGUCAGGGCAUGUCACACAAAAUAGUGGUGUGGUGAACAUUGCAGAAAAUGGUGUUAGAUAUUAUGGCAGAUUAAGUGACAUCUUUGAAUUUUCAUACAAUGAUUACAAGGUGGUGUUCUUUAAUUGUGAUUGGUAUGAUGUCUACCAUAAAGUUGGCAUACAAACGGAUGAGUUUGGGUUCACUCUUGUGAACAAGUCUGGGAAAAUACACACAGGAGAUGAGCUAGAGGAUGAUCCUUUUGUAUUUUCCUCCCAAGUGCAGCAGGUUUUCUAUGUUCAAGAUCCAAAAGCUGAACUAUGGAAUGUAGUAGUGGAAGUCAGGCCUCGUGAUCUUUUUGACAUGGGUGUUGAAGAAUCAUCGGAUGAAACAGAUUAGAGCAUUGUGAUUUUGGUUCAGGCUGAAGUAUGGUGGCAGCUCUUUGCUCGUGUGGUUCUUUGCAUACAACUACAAUUUUAGUUAUGGUUUCAGUAGUGGUUUACGAGCACAAAGUCAGAAUGCUUUAUUAUAGUUUAUGGUUGUAUGUUUUCGUACUAAUUCAGGGCACAGCCCAAGUAUACUUGGUUGUUAAUUGCAGGUUGAUUUUGCAGAAUUUCUGUUCUGGAAAGUGAAGUAUCACCUUUGGUUUAUUGAUUAUUCCCACAUGUUACAGUUA